GACGAACGCUGGCGGCGUGCUUAACACAUGCAAGUCGAACGGAAAGGCCCUGCUUUUGUGGGGUGCUCGAGUGGCGAACGGGUGAGUAACACGUGAGUAACCUGCCCUUGACUUUGGGAUAACUUCAGGAAACUGGGGCUAAUACCGGAUAGGAGCUCCUGCUGCAUGGUGGGGGUUGGAAAGUUUCGGCGGUUGGGGAUGGACUCGCGGCUUAUCAGCUUGUUGGUGGGGUAGUGGCUUACCAAGGCUUUGACGGGUAGCCGGCCUGAGAGGGUGACCGGCCACAUUGGGACUGAGAUACGGCCCAGACUCCUACGGGAGGCAGCGGUGGGGAAUAUUGCACAAUGGGCGGAAGCCUGAUGCAGCAACGCCGCGUGCGGGAUGACGGCCUUCGGGUUGUAAACCGCUUUCGCCUGUGACGAAGCGUGAGUGACGGUAAUGGGUAAAGAAGCACCGGCUAACUACGUGCCAGCAGCCGCGGUGAUACGUAGGGUGCGAGCGUUGUCCGGAUUUAUUGGGCGUAAAGGGCUCGUAGGUGGUUGAUCGCGUCGGAAGUGUAAUCUUGGGGCUUAACCCUGAGCGUGCUUUCGAUACGGGUUGACUUGAGGAAGGUAGGGGAGAAUGGAAUUCCUGGUGGAGCGGUGGAAUGCGCAGAUAUCAGGAGGAACACCAGUGGCGAAGGCGGUUCUCUGGGCCUUUCCUGACGCUGAGGAGCGAAAGCGUGGGGAGCGAACAGGCUUAGAUACCCUGGUAGUCCACGCUGUAAACGGUGGGUACUAGGUGUGGGGUCCAUUCCACGGGUUCCGUGCCGUAGCUAACGCUUUAAGUACCCCGCCUGGGGAGUACGGCCGCAAGGCUAAAACUCAAAGGAAUUAACGGGGCCCCGCACAAGCGGCGGAGCAUGCGGAUUAAUUCGAUGCAACGCGUAGAACCUUACCUGGGUUUGACAUGGAUCGGGAGCGCUCAGAGAUGGGUGUGCCUCUUUUGGGGUCGGUUCACAGGUGGUGCAUGGCUGUCGUCAGCUCGUGUCGUGAGAUGCUGGGUUAAGUCCCGCAACGAGCGCAACCCUUGUUCACUGUUGCCAGCACGUUAUGGUGGGGACUCAGUGGAGACCGCCGGGGUCAACUCGGAGGAAGGUGGGGAUGACGUCAAGUCAUCAUGCCCCUUAUGUCCAGGGCUUCACGCAUGCUACAAUGGCUGGUACAGAGAGUGGCGAGCCUGUGAGGGUGAGCGAAUCUCGGAAAGCCGGUCUCAGUUCGGAUUGGGGUCUGCAACUCGACCUCAUGAAGUCGGAGUCGCUAGUAAUCGCAGAUCAGCAACGCUGCGGUGAAUACGUUCCCGGGGCU
Molecule: ribosomal RNA, 1346 nt
Filed under: uncultured bacterium
Lineage: Bacteria
Description: bacterial SSU rRNA
Rfam family: Bacterial small subunit ribosomal RNA
Source: RNAcentral